CUCUCUCUCUGUACAUGAAGGGAUCAUGAGAGCUCACAGCAAGAUGGCGGCUGCCUACAAGCCAGGAAAAGAGGCCUUGGGGUGAAACUUACCUUGCAGUACCUUGAUCUUGAACUUCUUACCCUCCAAAACUGUGAGGAAUACAUUUCUGUUGUCUAAGCCACCUGGUCUAUGGUACUUGGUUAUAGCAGCUCCUGCAGACUGAUACACUCCAGGUGGUGGGAUUCUGGGUAAAUUUUGCUUUUUAAAAAAUACUUUGUUACUUUCUCUCUGUGCUGAAGGAGCAAAAAGUAUUCUUAUAAUAGUAGCUCAACAAUAUAUCCCCAAAAGCAUACAAGAUAAGGAACAUCACAUUUCUCAAACGUCUGCUCCUCAGGGAACUCUCUCUAGAUCUUCCCAGGUACUUGCUUCUUGUUUUGUUUCAUGGGCCUAACUUUUAGAGCUCAUGUCUCACUAUCUUGCAGGGCUUUUGGAGUCCCCUACUCAUACACCUUCUCAUACAUGAGACUACACUGCUUGAAAACCACAAUGGGCUCCAUAAACACUUUUGCAAUAGUGAAGAAGAAGAAAAAAUAAUGCCACACAUGAAUGCUCCUGAGAUGCCUCUGCCUAUUCUGGUGUGAUUGAAUUCUGUCCCCAGCAAAGGGAGGAAUGGGGUGAAUGUUGCUAUGUUUCUCUUUGCCUCCAUGGAAAGAAGUAUUUGGAGUAACCAGCAUCAUGGAGACAACAGCCUUACUCCCCAAGAAACCAGAGUUGGGGGAGAAGAGGGAUCUGCCUUCUCUGUGAAAGGCCCGGAGGCACUGAAAAGGAGCAGUUUCGGAAGAAUGCUGGCCUUGGAAUUAUCUACCCACCUAUCUAUCCAUCUGAUCAUCCAUCCAUCCAUCCAUCCUUUUAUCCAAUCUCCUAUCUGUCCAUCUGUCCAGCUAGCCAACCCUCAUUCACCAAAUAUUUAUUGAGCAUUUGCUAUGCACACUCACUAGGGAUAAAGUGGUAAACAAAAUGGACAUCAGAUCAAUUCAGGCUGGUGUCCUAGCUCAGCCAUUUAACUGUCACCUUGGGAAACUUGCUUGCUGUCUUUGAGCUGCUUUCUUUAUCUGCACAUUAGGGAUUCUAAUCUCUACAGUGAAAAAGGUUACAAUAAAUAUUGUCCAUAUAUGGACAUAACUUAGCACAGUAGCAAGACCACAGUAGGUGCACCACAAACAGUAGUUUUGGCAGUUCUCUAUCUCCCCCAAAGACCCCUGCCUACCACCCUUCUGCUGCAUAGGACAGCAUUUCUGCAUGAUCUUCAUACAAGGCAGCAACAAGGACCUGUGGGACGACGUUUGUCUGGGAGUGGAGAUGAGGCCCAAUGAGAGUCGGUGGCGUGUCUGAGGCUUACCGGUCCUUGAAGAGCAGGAGCUCCUUCCCCAGCAUUGUCACAGCGUCAAAGGAUGAGCUGGAGUCACAGAGGUCAGGGAUGGAUGGCUUGUGAUGGGGGGCAUGGGGCAGAGUGGGCUUCCCCAGGAAUACUUUCCGAGGUCCUAGGAUUCAAAAUGAGUUGGUCAAAAUGGUAACGGGAAUUUGGAGUUCACACACUUCUGCUCUAGAGCCCCAGGGGAGGUUGUACACUUUCACGCUGGACAUGUGAUCAUGAUCAUGGCUGUUGAGGGCAGGUAUGGGUUUGAGUCCCGGCUCUCCUGGUUGCUGAGCUGUGUGAUUUGAGGCACAUUAUUCAACUUUGCAAGCCUCAGCUUCCUCACUUGUUAAAAGGGAGGGAUAAUAAUAGUACUCACCUCAGAAGGCUGUUGUGAGAAUUAAAUAAUUCCUGUAAAGCAGGUAGCAGAGUGCUUGGCACAUAGUAAGUCUUCUAAAGAUUAUUAUUUUAUUAUAGAACUUCUUUGAUAUCUACAAGUGUUCCAAAUUAGAAAUGUAAUUUAAAAAUUGGCAUGGAUUGUUUGUUUGUAAUUAAGUUCUUUUUUUCUCAAUAAGAAAACUUUCUUGUGUGUUUUCCUAUUAUUUUCAUAGACUCCUUGGCAUCCUGCCCUGUGCUUUUGUCUUUUACUAGGCAUCCAGGAAAAACUGAGCGAGUUCUUGUGAAACUGAAGUACACUGAAGGUGUUUGCUAUUUAAAGGUAUCUUCUGGUGGAUCGUCUUGGAAAACAUGGACCCAAAUCUUGCGAGAGCUAUCAGUGAGUCUCCUCUCCUGCUCUGCAUCUCUCAGGACUGUGUCCCAGCUCCAGAAGAAUGAGCCUGCACAGCUUGGACUGUCACCUCUGGCAGGUUCCUGCUCUUUGAUGAAGCCUCGUCAUAAUUACAGGUGUUUGAAAGUUCCUCCAUUGAUCUUCUCUCUCCUGCUGCCUUGUCAAGAAGGUGCCUGCUUCCCCUUUGCCUUGCACCAUGAUUCUAAGUUUCCUGAGGCCUCCCCAGCCAUGUAAAACUAGCCUUAUCUUCAACAGCUGCUAAAAUUGAAGAACAAAAAGAAUCUUUGAAACUUCCCUUCAACUGGUCAUCCUCUUCCCUUUUUCUCUCCUUUAAACACUGUUCCAAUUCAUUAUGAUGGCCCCAAAGCAAAGACAGACAUGGAAGUGAACAUUGGAGUGGAAGGAAUGACGGGGAGCAAAGGUCUGCUUUCUUUCUAUCAUUCUUGUAUCAACUCUAAAUUGAAACCCAAAUCACUGAAAUCUAAAAAAUCACAUGAAAGCAAGUCAAUGACUAAAAGAAAAUGAAAUGAGAGAUCCUAUCAGAGAAAUAUGAAAGGGAAAAUACCACUGAUUAAAUAAGUUAUGGGAAAAAUAAAUCAUUACACCAUUAAAUGUAUACGUCGACAUACUGUAUGUUGUUAUGUGCUUAUUGUCUUUCACCAGUAGAAUGUAAGUCCCAUAAGGGUAAGGACUUUAUAUAUUCUUUUCACAGCAGUGUCUCUAGUGCAUGGAACAGUUCCUAGCACAAAAUAAACAGUUGUUGAAUAAGUGAA
Molecule: long non-coding RNA, 2956 nt
Filed under: Homo sapiens (human)
Lineage: Eukaryota; Metazoa; Chordata; Mammalia; Primates; Hominidae
Description: HSALNT0364575
Source: RNAcentral